Long non-coding RNA from Rosa chinensis, 443 nucleotides. RefSeq lists it as uncharacterized. Lineage: Eukaryota; Viridiplantae; Streptophyta; Magnoliopsida; Rosales; Rosaceae. The record is from RefSeq and is a predicted model, not a curated record. The transcript is spliced from 5 exons.
UUUAGUACCGCCCUUAACCAAAGACUCUUGAGUGUGAAGGUAAAUCAAGAAUGCUCGACAAGACAUUUUGGACGGGCUGCAACAGUUCCAUAGAGAAACUUCCGCAGUUGAAUCAAUACUAUAAGGAUAAAUUCUCUUUGGAAGUUGGAGGUUAUUCAGUGAUUAGAGUGAAGGUUCAGUUUAAUAACAGUUAAGUUAGGAUGAAAGAGGGGUUUGCGAUUAUCAUAUUGUGUUUGUCAUCAACAAGGAGAAGGAGGGUGAGUUUUGGAGUUUUAUUGAGGAGAGCAGGACAGCUGCAGUAAGAUCAGGGGGAGCAUAGGAGAUUCUCAAUCAAUUAUCACAGAUUUCUAAAAUUUUAUUUCCGUAAUCAAAACUCAAUCAAUUAUAUAUGUCAGACUUCAUCUUAAAUUUGCUUAUUGUUGGAGUAUGGAUUUAUGUGGUUU